GAUUAAGUAUAGUAAGGGCGCAUGGUGGAUGCCUCGGCAUGGGCAGGCGAUGAAGGGCGUGGCAAGCUGCGAUAAGCCGCGGGGAGCCGCAAGCAGGCUGUGAUCCGCGGAUUCCCGAAUGGGGCAACCCGGCCGGUCGAAGACCGGUCAUCCCCGAACUGAAUCCAUAGGUUCGGGGAGGCGAACCCGGGGAACUGAAACAUCUCAGUACCCGGAGGAAAAGAAAGCAAAAGCGAUUCCCUGAGUAGUGGCGAGCGAAAGGGGAACAGCCCAAACCGGCGUCGUUUCGGCGGCGUCGGGGUUGUAGGGCCCGCCAUAAGGGGUCGGAAGGUGAAGUCGAAGCGCGCUGGAAAGCCGCACCAUAGAGGGUGAUAGUCCCGUAGGCGUAAGCUGACCGAUCUCGGCGGUGUCCCUGAGUACCACGGGACCGGGGAAAUCCUGUGGGAAGCUGCCAGCACCAUCUGGCAAGGCUAAAUACUCGCCCAUGACCGAUAGCGUACCAGUACCGUGAGGGAAAGGUGAAAAGAACGCCUAGUAGGCGAGUGAAAAGGACCUGAAACCAUGCGCCUACAACCAGUCGGAGCCUCUCUGCUUCUUGUAAGCAGAUGGGGUGACGGCGUGCCUUUUGCAGAAUGAGCCUACGAGUUGCUCCUCUCUGGCAAGGCUAAGUGCCUCAGGCACGGAGCCGUAGCGAAAGCGAGUCCGAACAGGGCGACCUAGUCAGAGGGGGCAGACGCGAAACCGGGUGAGCUACCCUUGGCCAGGUUGAAGCGUGGGUAAGACCACGUGGAGGACCGAACCGGUUGGCGUUGAAAAGCCAUCGGAUGAGCUGAGGGUAGGGGUGAAAGGCCAACCAAACCCGGAGAUAGCUCGUACUCCCCGAAAUGCAUAGAGGUGCAGCGUCGCAGCCGAGUGUGCGGGAGGUAGAGCACUGAUUGGGCUAGGGCCCUUCACCGGGUACCAAACCCAGACAAACUCCGAAUGCCCGCACAUGCUCUGCGGCAGUGAGGGCAUGGGCGAUAAGGUCCAUGUCCGAGAGGGAGACAACCCAGACCGACAGCUAAGGCCCCCAAGUCCAGGCUAAGUUGAUCAAAGGAGGUCGGGCUGCUGAGACAACCAGGAGGUUGGCUUAGAAGCAGCCAUUCCUUUAAAGAGUGCGUAACAGCUCACUGGUCGAGCGGCCCGGCGCCGAAAAUUGUCGGGCAUCAAGCCUGGCGCCGAAGCUUCGGGUUUGCAGCUUUAGGCUGCAAGCGGUAGGGGAGCAUUCCAGUUGCGCUGAAGUCGCCUCGUGAGGGGCGGUGGAGCGACUGGAAAAGAAAAUGUAGGCAUAAGUAACGAGAAGACGGGUGAAAAACCCGUCCGCCGUAAGCCCAAGGGUUCCUGCUCAACGUUAAUCGGAGCAGGGUUAGCCGGGACCUAAGCCGAGGCCGAAAGGCGUAGGCGAUGGAUAACGGGUUAAUAUUCCCGUGCCACCUAAAGGCGUUAACCUGAGGCGGGACGCAGAAGCGUAAGGUCCGCGCCCUGACGGAAUAGGGCGUUGAAGCCCGUAGGCUGGGUGGUAGGCAAAUCCGCCACCCGCUAAGGCCGAAAGGCGACAGUAGGGGGACCCGCAAGGGAAACCCAUAGAGGCCCCAAGCACGCUGCCAAGAAAAGCGUCGCAGGUUGCCUUUGGGUGCCCGUACCGGAAACCGACACAGGUGGGCGAGGCGAGCAUCCUCAGGCGCUCGAGUGAUCCGUGGCUAAGGAACUCGGCAAAUUGGCCCCGUAACUUCGGGAGAAGGGGCGCCUCCUCCCAUCUAAAAGCGGGAGGGGGCCGCAGUGACCAGGCCCAAGCGACUGUUUAACAAAAACACAGCUCUCUGCGAACUCGUAAGAGGACGUAUAGGGAGUGACACCUGCCCGGUGCCGGAAGGUUAAGGAAGGGGGUUAGCCGCAAGGCGAAGCUCCCGACCGAAGCCCCGGUAAACGGCGGCCGUAACUAUAACGGUCCUAAGGUUCAUCGCGAGCCUUAGUAAAACCGAACUAUAUGCGGGGAACCCCUCAAACAGCCAGGCAGUACUCGCCUGCCCCAAGCAGGCAGUAAAAAUCUGCAGGACAUGGGGGCAAUCCGCAGGGAAGGCUCUCCCUAAAAAAGGGAGAGAACCCUCAGAGACUUUACGUUCGGUCCCGCUAGCCUAUGCUUGGGGGACAAUCUUGGUAGCCGUGCAAAAGCGAUCAUGAAACUUGAAGCACAAUGGGUUGUGGGUUUUGUGGAUGGAGAAGGAUGCUUUCAUAUAGGCAUCAAUGCCCAUCCCGAAAUGAACACAGGCUACCAAGUGAUCCCCGAAUUCGUAGUGGUGCAGCACAAGCGGGACGUUCAGGUGCUCUAUGCCCUCAAAGCUUUCUUUGGGUGCGGUGUGGUGCGUCUUAAUCAUGGCGACCGUAUGGCGUAUCGGGUGCGAAAGUUCGAACACCUGCGUCAUCGCAUCGUGCCCUUCUUUGAAAAGCACCCGCUAAAGACAAAAAAACGCCUAGAUUUUAUUGCGUUUCGGCGGGUUUUGCUCUUAAUGGAGAAGGGUGAGCACCUAAACGCCGAAGGGCUUGAGCGCAUCCGGAAAAUUGCAGAACGGAUGCAUAGGCAGCGGGAAAGAUAAAGUCCGGCUCCUCUGGAAACAGAGCGAGGUAAACCGAGCGAAAUUCCUUGUCGGGUAAGUUCCGACCUGCACGAAUGGUGUAACGACUUGGGCACUGUCUCGGCCACGGGCUCGGUGAAAUUGUGGUGCCAGUGAAGACGCUGGCUACCCGCCGCGGGACGGAAAGACCCCGUGCACCUUUACUGCAGCCUGGCAUUGACGCCGGCCAGGGCGUGUGCAGGAUAGGCGGGAGGCUGAGAAGCCGGGGCGCCAGCUCCGGUGGAGCCGCCCUUGAGAUACCGCCCUCGCUCUGGCUGGCGCCUAACCCACGGCCGUUAUCCGGUCGGGGGACCGUGUCAGGUGGGUGGUUUGACUGGGGCGGUCGCCUCCUAAAGAGUAACGGAGGCUCCCAAAGGUCCCCUCAGCACGGUCGGUAAUCGUGCGUAGAGUGUAAGGGCAUAAGGGGGCUUGACUGCGAGACACACACGUCGAGCAGGGGCGAAAGCCGGGCCUAGUGAUCCGGCGGUUCCGCAUGGAAGGGCCGUCGCUCAAAGGAUAAAAGGUACGCCGGGGAUAACAGGCUGAUCGGGGCCAAGAGUUCACAUCGACGCCCCGGUUUGGCACCUCGAUGUCGGCUCAUCGCAUCCUGGGGCUGGAGAAGGUCCCAAGGGUUGGGCUGUUCGCCCAUUAAAGCGGUACGUGAGCUGGGUUCAGAACGUCGUGAGACAGUUCGGUCCCUAUCUGCGGCGGGCGCAGGAGGCUUGCGCGGACCUGUCCCUAGUACGAGAGGACCGGGAUGGACGGACCUCUAGUGUACCAGUUGUGCCGCCAGGUGCACCGCUGGGUAGCUAUGUCCGGACGGGAUAAGCGCUGAAGGCAUCUAAGCGCGAAGCCCACCGCAAGAUGAGGCCUCCCCUACGGGCCGUCCGAGACGAGGACGUUGAUAGGCGGCAGGUGUAAGCGGGGUAACCCGUUGAGCCGAGCCGUACUAAUCGCCCGUGUGACUUAAUCCCUCCC
Molecule: ribosomal RNA, 3629 nt
Filed under: Rhodothermus marinus
Lineage: Bacteria; Pseudomonadati; Rhodothermota; Rhodothermia; Rhodothermales; Rhodothermaceae
Description: 23S ribosomal RNA
Rfam family: Bacterial large subunit ribosomal RNA
Source: RNAcentral